RNAcentral lists this ribosomal RNA (724 nucleotides) under unidentified archaeon. RNAcentral describes it as "bacterial SSU rRNA". It matches the Rfam family "Archaeal small subunit ribosomal RNA", at positions 327 to 1054 of the family's 1478-position model. The record is from RNAcentral.
GGGGCGCAGCAGGCGCGAAAACUUUACAAUGCGGGCAACCCGUGAUAAGGGAACCUCGAGUGCCUGUACAUGCAGGCUGUCUGGGUGUCUAAAACACACCCAAAGAAAGGGCCGGGCAAGACCGGUGCCAGCCGCCGCGGUAAUACCGGCGGCUCGAGUGGUGGCCACUUUUAUUGGGCUUAAAGCGUUCGUAGCUGGGUUGUUAAGUCUCUUGGGAAAUCUGGCAGCUUAACCGUCAGGCGUCUAAGGGAUACUGGCAAUCUUGGAACCGGGAGAGGUGAGGGGUACUUCGGGGGUAGGGGUGAAAUCCUGUAAUCCUCGAGGGACCACCUGUGGCGAAGGCGCCUCACCAGAACGGCUUCGACAGUGAGGGACGAAAGCUGGGGGAGCAAACCGGAUUAGAUACCCGGGUAGUCCCAGCCGUAAACGAUGCGCGUUAGGUGUGUCGAUGACCACGAGUCAUCGAGGUGCCGAAGGGAAACCGUGAAACGCGCCGCCUGGGAAGUACGGUCGCAAGGCUGAAACUUAAAGGAAUUGGCGGGGGAGCACCACAACAGGUGGAGCCCGCGGUUUAAUUGGACUCAACGCCGGGAAGCUCACCGGAUAGGACAGCAGAAUGAUUGCCGGGCUGAAGACUCUGCAUGACUAGCUGAGAGGAGGUGCAUGGCCGUCGUCAGUUCGUACUGUGAAGCAUCCUGUUAAGUCAGGUAACGAGCGAGACCCA